This 444-nucleotide ribosomal RNA is filed under the name uncultured Archaeorhizomycetes. RNAcentral describes it as "eukaryotic LSU rRNA". It matches the Rfam family "Eukaryotic large subunit ribosomal RNA", at positions 88 to 550 of the family's 3401-position model. Lineage: Eukaryota; Fungi; Ascomycota; Archaeorhizomycetes. The record is from RNAcentral.
GGCGAAUGAAGCGGGAAAAGCUCAAGUUUGAAAUCCGGAGGGGCCGGAGUUGUAAGCUGAAGAAGGCUUCGACCGACCGGCCCGGCCCAAUUUCCUUGGAACAGGAGGUCAUGGAGGGUGAGAACCCUGUCCGUGCUCGGGGUCCGUCUGUGUCGUGCCCUCGAAGAGUCGGGUUGUUUGGGAAUGCAGCUCAAAAUGGGUGGUAAAUCUCACUAAGGCUAAACAUUGGCGAGAGACCGAUAGCAAACAAGUAGAGUGAUCGAGAGAUGAAAAGUACUUUGAAAAGAGAGUGAAACAGUACGUGAAAUUGUUGAAAGGAAGCGUUUGCAUCAGCCCAUGGCGCCCGUCGACAUCCGGGCCUAGCCCUGCACUUGUCGGCGUCGGGCCAGCGUCGGUCCGGCCGUGGAGAGGGUGUGGGGGRUGUGGUUCCUUGGGAGCGUAUAA